UACGUAGGGUGCGAGCGUUAAUCGGAAUUACUGGGCGUAAAGCGUGCGCAGGCGGCUAUUUAAGCUUGCUGUGAAAGCCCCGGGCUUAACCUGGGAACUGCAGUGAGGACUGGAUGGCUGGAGUGUGGCAGAGGGGGGUGGAAUUCCACGUGUAGCAGUGAAAUGCGUAGAGAUGUGGAGGAAUACCGAUGGCGAAGGCAACCCCCUGGGAUAAGACUGACGCUCAGGCACGAAAGCGUGGGGAGCAAACAGG
RNAcentral lists this ribosomal RNA (253 nucleotides) under uncultured bacterium. RNAcentral describes it as "partial 16S ribosomal RNA". It matches the Rfam family "Bacterial small subunit ribosomal RNA", at positions 524 to 776 of the family's 1533-position model. The record is from RNAcentral.